CUAGUUGGUAGGGUAAGAGCCUACCAAGCCAGAGAUCGGUAGCCGGCCUGAGAGGGCACACGGCCACACUGGCACUGAAACACGGGCCAGACUCCUACGGGAGGCAGCAGUGGGGAAUCUUGCACAAUGGGGGAAACCCUGAUGCAGCGACGCCGCGUGAGCGAUGAAGCCCUUCGGGGUGUAAAGCUCUUUCGUCAGGGAAGAUAGUGACGGUACCUGGAGAAGCAGCUGCGGCUAACUACGUGCCAGCAGCCGCGGUAAUACGUAGGCAGCAAGCGUUGUUCGGAGUUACUGGGCGUAAAGGGUGUGUAGGCGGUUCUUUAAGUUUGCUGUGAAAUCUCCCGGCUUAACCGGGAGGGUGCGGUGAAUACUGAGGGACUAGAGUACGGGAGAGGAAAGUGGAAUUCCUGGUGUAGCGGUGAAAUGCGUAGAUAUCAGGAGGAACACCGGUGGUGUAGACGGCUUUCUGGACCGUAACUGACGCUGAGACACGAAAGCGUGGGUAGCAAACAGGAUUAGAUACCCUGGUAGUCCACGCCCUAAACGAUGCAUACUUGGUGUGGGCAGUUCAUUCUGUCCGUGCCGGAGCUAACGCGUUAAAUAUGCCGCCUGGGGAGUACAGUCGCAAGGCUGAAACUCAAAGGAAUUGACG
Molecule: ribosomal RNA, 652 nt
Filed under: uncultured Acidobacteriota bacterium
Lineage: Bacteria; Pseudomonadati; Acidobacteriota
Description: SSU rRNA
Rfam family: Bacterial small subunit ribosomal RNA
Source: RNAcentral